GUUUCAAUUCCUCAUAGGCAGGCUAUCGGCAUCUAUUUCCAAGAUGAGGAAGGGACCUUUCUUAAGG
Molecule: small RNA, 67 nt
Filed under: Acididesulfobacillus acetoxydans
Lineage: Bacteria; Bacillati; Bacillota; Clostridia; Eubacteriales; Peptococcaceae
Description: Peptococcaceae bacterium INE non-coding RNA
Source: RNAcentral